RNAcentral lists this ribosomal RNA (252 nucleotides) under uncultured Mesorhizobium sp. Its description in RNAcentral is "partial 16S ribosomal RNA". It matches the Rfam family "Bacterial small subunit ribosomal RNA", at positions 87 to 355 of the family's 1533-position model. The record is from RNAcentral. Lineage: Bacteria; Pseudomonadati; Pseudomonadota; Alphaproteobacteria; Hyphomicrobiales; Phyllobacteriaceae.
CAAUACGAGCGGCAGACGGGUGAGUAACGCGUGGGAAUCUACCCAUCUCUACGGAACAACUCCGGGAAACUGGAGCUAAUACCGUAUACGUCCUUUUGGAGAAAGAUUUAUCGGAGAUGGAUGAGCCCGCGUUGGAUUAGCUAGUUGGUGGGGUAAUGGCCUACCAAGGCGACGAUCCAUAGCUGGUCUGAGAGGAUGAUCAGCCACACUGGGACUGAGACACGGCCCAGACUCCUACGGGAGGCAGCAGUU